CUAAGGUUCCGUCUUUGAGGUGUAGGUUGUUAGGUGAUUUGAUGGAUUCAGCUUUACUUUCUAAGCAAACUAGGGAUUCUGGAAUUACCAGAAAUCCUUAUCCCCGUCGUCCUCGGACACACAUUUCCUCACCCCAAAAUGUGAACUUCUCCGUACUCCAGCUUGAGUUCAAUAGUCACUAACUACUUUUAAAGAUUCUGCCUUUUUUGCUUUUACUUUCAUCAGACUUCUGAAUCAAGUCAUGUGGUGUCUGCCCUUUUCUUUUUCAAUGUUCAUUCCAAUUCCAUGAUAGAGAAGGGAGAUUUCAGUUAAGUGUGUUGGUCUUGGUCUAUGUCCAUGGAUCCUCAUUUGGAUCUGAAUCAAAUAUCAUUGUAAUUUCAGGGGUGAGUGGUGUACUUUGAAAACAGAAAAUGUUGAAUAUGAAGUGAGUGCCUGAGUGCCAAAGAAGGAUAGUUAGCUAGUCCCGGAGAUGGACCGGAGGAGCUGGCUGUGGCGGAGGAAAUCGUCUGAUAAGAGUCCCAGUGGUGAAACCGAAAGCUCUGGUUCGAUUUCAUCGCAUUCCGAGAGAUUCUCUGAUGAUCAGGCAAUUCCAAAUCACAGUAUUCAAUCACCGGAAGUCACAUCUAAAGCUGCAUCCAAUGAUGAAGAACUUAAUGACAGUGUCAGUGUGAAGGCACUAUCAGCUAAACUGUCAGAAGCUCUGCUUAAUAUUCGUGCUAAAGAAGACUUGGUAAAGCAGCAUGCAAAAGUUGCAGAGGAAGCUGUCACAGGUUGGGAAAAGGCUGAAGCUGAGGUAUUAGUCCUGAAGAAACAAGUUGAUGCUACUGCCCAAAAGAACUUGGUCCUUGAAGAACGCACCGGUCACCUUGAUGGAGCACUUAAAGAGUGUUUGAGACAGCUUCGACUCGUGAGGGAAGACCAGGAACAAAAGAUUCUUGAAGCUAUAUCCAAGACAAGUUCUCAGUGGGAGUCUUCAAAGUCUGAACUUGAGAAACAGCUUGCUGAGCUCCGGUCUGAACUUGAAAGUGCUAAAGUUGAAGCACUCGUGAUCCCAGAUCUUCGUGCGCAGCUUGAAUCUAUGAAGGAAGAGAACUCAGUGUUGAAGCUUGAGCUCUUUUCUACAGCGGAGGAUCUCACACUGAGGACCUCUGAGAGAGAUUUGAGCACAGUUGCUGCUGAAACAGCUAGUAAGCAACAUCUGGAGAGCAUAAGAAAGGUGGCCAGGCUUGAAGGAGAGUGUCGCAGGCUCAAGGCUCUUGCUCACAAAGCAGCUUCAGCUAAUGAUCAAAAGUCUGUUGCUGCAUCAUCAGCUUAUGUUGAAUCUUUUACAGAUAGCCAAUCAGAUAGUGGAGAGAGACUGUCUGGAAUUGAAAACGAUAGUCGCAAAAUGAAUACUUUGGAGCAGAAUGAGUACGGAUCUAGUCGGUCUGACCUAUGGGCUUCCGCUUUGAUAUCAGAACUGGACCAAUUUGCAUUUGAAAAGCCACUCAAAAGAAACAUUAUGAAACCUUCAUCAGACAUGAAUCUCAUGGAUGAUUUUCUUGAGAUGGAGAGGCUUGCAGCAUUGCCCGAGUCAGACAGUGAAAGCCCCCUUGAAAGAGGAGCUUGUUCUGGGGAACUUUCUUUAAAAGUUGAACUUGAAGCCAUGAUUAAUCGGACAGCUGAACUGGAGGAGAAGUUGGAGAAUAUGGAUUCUGAGAAAAUGAAGUUGGAGAUGGCAUUAACCCAGUGCCAAUUCCAGCUUAAAAUGUCCAAAGGUCAAUUAAAAGAAACAGAGGUGAAGUUGAUUGAGCUGAAAUCUGAGUUAGCUUUGGCAAUUGAAGCUAGAACUGCAGCUGAGGUAGAAUUUCAGACUACUUCUGCAAAGCUUAAGAAAUUAAUAGAGCAUUUAGAGAAAACAGAAAUGAAUGUGGCAGAGCUUCAAACUAAGUUAGAUAUGGCACAUGAAGCAAGGAAAACAGUUGAGGCAGAACAUAAGGAUACCAAUCUUAAGCUUCAAUCUAAGUUAGAUAUGGCACACGAAGCAAGGAAAACACUUGAGGCAGAACUUAAGGAUACCAAUCUUAAGCUUCAAUCUAAGUUAGAUAUGGCACACGAAGCAAGGAAAACACUUUUGGCAGAACUUAAGGAUACCAAUCUUAAACUUCAGAAAUCAGAAGUGUGGUUAGAGGAAGCACAGGUCAGUUUGGCAGACCUUGAUGCUCAUUUCUCAACUGAAAGAGAGGCACGGAUAGCUGCUCAGCAAGAGCUUGAGGUUUCCAAUUCAAAGCUUAAGAAAUCAAUAGAGCGCUUAGAACAAGCAGAGGCCAACUUGUUAGAGCUUCAGACUCAGUUGGAAAGGGCAAAUGAAAUAAGGUGCACCAUUGAGUCUGAACUAGAGGAUAGCAAUCAUAAGAAAGAGGAAACAGAGUCUCAACUCAAAGCUGCAGAAUUUCAACUGCAAGCUUUGCAUUCAAGAGUUUAUUCACUUGAAGAAGAGGUGAAAAAAGAACAGGCUUUUUCACAUGAAUCUAUUCUAAAGUUGAGGAAAUUAGAAAGUUUAAAUUUAAGACUAACAUCCCAAUGCCAGCUUCAGAAAGCAGCAACCAUUGGAGAAUUUCAAUUCAAUAAGGACAAAGAACUGGCAGUGGCUGCUAGUAAAUUUGAGGAGUGCAAAAAGACAAUUGCUUCAAUUGGUAGGCAGUUGAAAACCCUUUCAAACUUAGAAGAUUUCCUGAUCGACUCCUAGAGACCACGUGAGCUCUGUUAAGACAGAUGUGAGCAGCAGCUGUUAGGAAUUCACUGUGUACCUGAACGAAAAGUUGGUCAAGACCAACUGAAUUCAAGUAAGAGCAGCAUAUCCCAUGGACAUCAGCAACCAUAAGGAACAUCAGGAUUCAAAAUUUCCAAGGUACAAUAUUUAUGUAUGUUUCAGUUAAGCAGCAGUUCAUUUGUACAUGAAAUGUUGGGUAGAAUAUUUUUCCAUCGUCGUUGACGUAUAAAGGAGAACAGAUAAAUUUACAUGUAAGAUGCAAGUUAUAUAGUAUACUGCCAUUUGUUUAAGGAAAAUUUUGUGGUUCAA
RNA transcript from Ipomoea nil (Japanese morning glory), 3061 nucleotides. It is a transcript of the gene named filament-like plant protein, with no coding region annotated. The record is from RefSeq and is a predicted model, not a curated record. The transcript has 5 exons. NCBI's taxonomy places the organism in Eukaryota, Viridiplantae, Streptophyta, Magnoliopsida, Solanales, Convolvulaceae.